This 72-nucleotide transfer RNA is filed under the name Camelus bactrianus (Bactrian camel). It matches the Rfam family "tRNA". Rfam says of the family: Transfer RNA (tRNA) molecules are approximately 80 nucleotides in length. Their secondary structure includes four short double-helical elements and three loops (D, anti-codon, and T loops). Further hydrogen bonds mediate the characteristic L-shaped molecular structure. tRNAs have two regions of fundamental functional importance: the anti-codon, which is responsible for specific mRNA codon recognition, and the 3' end, to which the tRNAs corresponding amino acid is attached (by aminoacyl-tRNA synthetases). tRNAs cope with the degeneracy of the genetic code in two manners: having more than one tRNA (with a specific anti-codon) for a particular amino acid; and 'wobble' base-pairing, i.e. permitting non-standard base-pairing at the 3rd anti-codon position. RNAcentral also lists the same sequence under 1 other name. Lineage: Eukaryota; Metazoa; Chordata; Mammalia; Artiodactyla; Camelidae. The record is from Rfam by way of RNAcentral.
GAGGGUAUAGCUCAGUGGUGGAGCGUGUGCUUAGCGUGCAUGAGGUCCUGGGUUCAAUCCCCAGUCCCUCCA